Molecule: long non-coding RNA, 2474 nt
Filed under: Citrus sinensis (sweet orange)
Lineage: Eukaryota; Viridiplantae; Streptophyta; Magnoliopsida; Sapindales; Rutaceae
Description: long non-coding RNA (CSIN_LNC005398)
Source: RNAcentral
ACGUCUACCAAACCCCUAACAAAAUUGGAAUCGCACAUCCUGAUUCGAAUGCGUAGAGAAGUUCACACAAGUCCAAACUUCCACUCUCCCACUAUUGAACCAUUUCUAUAAAACCAAAUUUUCACAAAAUAAUUUAGUGUGAAUAAAUAAAAGCUCCUCAUUCAGAAGACAGAGUGAAUUCAGCUGAACACCAAGCACAUACAUUCCAAAUACCUAAAUGAAUUUCAAAUAAAAAGCUCUUCAAAGAUGAAAAAGUAUAAAACUACAUACAAAUUGCAGCAUGCUAAAAUGAUUAAAUAUAUAUAUAUAUAUUGUUUCUGCGAUAAUCAAAAACUAUACAAUCAACACAAUGCAGUUAAGAUUAAUUGCAAGAUCCAUAGAUAACAAAGACACUUCCACACUAAGAAUUCAUACCCAAUUAUUCAAUAAGCAUAGUCUACUUCAAUUCUUUCAACUUCAGCACCGUACAAGCAAAAUGACAACUUCAUUGAUAAGCUUAAUCAUCUCUAUCAACACUAGUAAUCACCAGCUAAUCCAAACCCCACCACGCAAUUGCCUUAGCAACAUUCGUGGGCUCCCAAAAGGUCAGGUGGUGAAAGUGCCAACGACUUCUUCACAUUGCAAAUCUUUAUAUUUCCAAUCAAUCCAACCUAAUUAACAAACAUUCCAAAUUCCUAAUAACACAGGUGCUAUUUAAUAAAUCCAAAUAAUUACCUGCAAAAGCGAGUAUAGGUAUCAUCCAGGAUCAUAACUGUGUCCGUAAAAAUUACUUGUCUCGUCAGCAGACCAACACUCCUCCAAAUUAGGGCACUUGCCCUCUUCACAAAAUGUGUGAAGCAUCGACCUGCCCAAUUUUUUUCUACAUUUGAUUGUAAUUAUCGCCUCUGGGAAUCGAUGCCUUCAUCCAUUUGGCCUUUGCCAGAGGCUUCUUUCGAUUAUCACCUUAGCUUCAUAAAUUCAUCAAAUUUACUUUAACACAACAGUCAUCGUGCAAUUUCAUAUGUGAGUCACCGAUUUUGUCACAUCCAGAUUUACCUUUUAUUAAUCGACUUCCCCGGUAUUCUUUAACAAAAACAUGGCUAUCUUCGAAGCGUUCAAUUGGCCACUUUUAAAUCCAAUGGUUACAUUGAAUGAAGACAAAAGGCGUUGUAAGACAGGGGUGGCUUUAAGUAUAGGUGAACAAGACAGUCGUUUAAGACCUCAUAUUUUAAUAAGGUCUCAUUUUUUGAGUAUUUUUUUAAUAAUUUUUUAAUUAAUAAAAUUUUUUAAUACGUAUUUUAAGAAAUUAAGAGUUAUUUUUGAUAAAAAAAUCUAUUUUUGGAAACCUUAAUUUGAAAGAAAUAUAAUUAAUAAUAUUAAUUAACCAUUAGUUGAUUCAUUAUUAUUAUUUCCAAAAAAUUAUUUACCUUUUUAAUUAUUCAAUAUUAGAAUCUUUGAUUUUUAGUAUUUCUUUUAAUUUCUAUUAAAAACAUUAUAAUCUCAAGAAUUAAUAAAUGAAAAAAAUUUCUUGUUCUUUUCUCUACAAAGAAAAUUAUUAUAUUCAUUGGUUCAUGUAAAAUAAUUAAUUACAAAAUAAAUAAUAUUACCAUACCAUUCUCUUGCUAUUUCACGUCUACCAACCCCUAACAGAAUUGGAAUCGCGCAUCCUGAUUCGAAUGCGUAGAGAAGUUCACACAAGUCCAAACUUCCACUCUCCCACUAUUGAACCAUUUCUAUAAAACCAAAAUUUCACAAAAUAAUUUAGUGUGAAUAAAUAAAAGCUCCUCACUCAGAAGACAGAGUGAAUUCAGCUGAACACCAAGUACAUACAUUCCAAAUACCUAAAUGAAUUUCAAAUAAAAAGCUCUUCAAAGAUGAAAAAGUAUAUAACUACAUACAAAUUUCAGCAUGCUAAAAUGAUUAAAAAAUAUAUAUAUUGUUUAUGCAAUAAUCAGAAACUAUACGAUCAACACAAUGCAGUCAAGAUUAAUUUCAAUAUCCAUAGAUAACAAAGACACUUUCAUACUAAGAAUUCAUACCCAAUUAUUCAAUAAGCAUAGUCUACUUCAAUUCUUUCAACUUCAGCACCGUACAAGCAAAAUGACAACUUCAUUGAUAAGCUUAAUCAUCUCUAUCAACACUAGUAAUCACCAGCUAAUCCAAACCCCACCACGCAAUUGCCUUAGCAACAUUCGUGGGCUCCCAAAAGGUCAGGUGGUGAAAGUGCGAACGACUUCUUCACAUUGCAAAUCCUUAUAUUUCCAAUCAAUCCAACCUAAUUAACAAACAUUCCAAAUUCCUAAUAACACAGGUGCUAUUUAAUAAAUCCAAAUAAUUACCUGCAACAAUGAGUAUAGGUAUCAUCCAGGAUCAUAACAGUGUCCGUAAAAAUUGCCUGUCUCGUCGGCAGACCAACACUCCUCCAAAUUAGGGCACUUGCCCUCUUCACAAAAUGUGUGAAGCAUCGACCUGCCCAAUUUUUUUCUACAUCUGAU